This 796-nucleotide ribosomal RNA is filed under the name uncultured marine thaumarchaeote. RNAcentral's name for it is "bacterial SSU rRNA". It matches the Rfam family "Archaeal small subunit ribosomal RNA", at positions 83 to 879 of the family's 1478-position model. Lineage: Archaea; Thermoproteati; Nitrososphaerota. The record is from RNAcentral.
CGGCUGCUCAGUAACACGUAGUCAACCUAACCUAUGGACGGGAAUAACCUCGGGAAACUGAGAAUAAUGCCCGAUAGAACACUAUACCUGGAAUGGUUUGUGUUCCAAAUGAUUUAUCGCCGUAGGAUGGGACUGCGGCCUAUCAGUUUGUUGGUGAGGUAAUGGCCCACCAAGACUAUUACAGGUACGGGCUCUGAGAGGAGUAGCCCGGAGAUGGGUACUGAGACACGGACCCAGGCCCUAUGGGGCGCAGCAGGCGAGAAAACUUUGCAAUGUGCGAAAGCACGACAAGGUUAAUCCGAGUGGUUUCUGCUAAAGGAACCUUUUGUUAGUCCUAGAAACACUAACGAAUAAGGGGUGGGCAAGUUCUGGUGUCGGCCGCCGCGGUAAAACCAGCACCUCAAGUGGUCAGGAUGAUUAUUGGGCCUAAAGCAUCCGUAGCCGGCUCUGUAAGUUUUCGGUUAAAUCUGUACGCUCAACGUACAGGCUGCCGGGAAUACUGCAGAGCUAGGGAGUGGGAGAGGUAGACGGUACUCGGGAGGAAGUGGUAAAAUGCUUUGAUCUCUCGAUGACCACCUGUGGCGAAGGCGGUCUACCAGAACACGUCCGACGGUGAGGGAUGAAAGCGGGGGGAGCAAACCGGAUUAGAUACCCGGGUAGUCCCAGCUGUAAACUAUGCAAACUCAGUGAUGCAUUGGCAUGUGGCCAAUGCAGUAUUGCAGGGGAAGCCGUUAAGUUUGCCGCCUGGGAAGUACGUACGCAAGUAUGAAACUUAAAGGAAUUGGCGGGGGAGCAG